This 487-nucleotide long non-coding RNA is filed under the name Marmota monax (woodchuck). The record is from RNAcentral. Lineage: Eukaryota; Metazoa; Chordata; Mammalia; Rodentia; Sciuridae.
GAGAUAGAACACUUUAAGAAACCUGUAACUGGCCCUGGCAUCUUGUCUAUGGCAAAUGCUGGGCCAAACACAAAUGGUUCCCAGUUUUUCAUCUGCACUGCCAAGACUGAGUGGUUGGAUGGCAAGCAGGUGGUCUUUGGGAAGGUGAAAGAGGGCUUGAACUUUGUGGAAGCCAUGGAACGCUUUGGGUCCAGGAAUGGCAAGACCAGCAAGAAGAUCACCAUUUCCGACUGUGGACAACUCUAAUACAUUUGACUUGUGUUUAUCUUAACCACCAAACCAUUCCUGUAGCUCAGGAGAGCACCCCUCCACCCCAUCUGCUUGCAAUAUCCCAUAAUCUUUGUGCUCUAGCUGCAGUUCUUUGGGUUCCAUAUUUUCCUUAUUUCCCUCCCAAGUCUAGCUGGAUUGCAGAGUUAAGUUUAUGAUUAUGAAUAAAAACUAAAUGACAAAAAAAAAAGAAAGAAAACUGUAACUGGGGCUGGGGUUG